Eriocheir sinensis (Chinese mitten crab) is the source of this 2456-nucleotide long non-coding RNA. RefSeq lists it as uncharacterized. The transcript has 3 exons. Lineage: Eukaryota; Metazoa; Arthropoda; Malacostraca; Decapoda; Varunidae. The record is from RefSeq and is a predicted model, not a curated record.
CUCAGGAACGCACUUGCUCAACUCUGGAACGUACGCGCUCAACUCAGGAACGUACGUGCUCAACUCAGGAACGUACGUGCUCAACUCAGGAACGUACGUGCUCAACUCAGGAACGUACGUGCUCAACUCAGGAACGUACGUGCUCAACUCAGGAACGUACGUGCUCAACUCAGGAACGUACGUGCUCAACUCAUGGACGUACGUGCUCAACUCAUGAACGUACGUGCUCAACUCAGGAACGUACGUGCUCAACUCAGGAAGCCGGCGGCGGCGACGUGGGCAGCGGCGGCGGCGUGUGCGGGGCCGGCCUUGGCGCCGCCGGUGCGCGGCCGUGCGCUUGGCGGGGCGGCCAGACGACGGGUUCCUGGGCGCGAGUCUCCUUGUCUGGCGGCGGCCCUCGCCUCGCCGCCCUCCUGCUGCCCCACUCGAAGCCGGCACUCGGCACAGCCCACAGCCAGACAGACACGGUGGUACACGCCAGACAUAACAUUAUAUAUGCAUUUUCAUGUUUGUGAGCCAUAUUUCCGCCCCUGAGUCCUGCGUGGGGAGCGCGGUGCAGCGGGGGAUGCCAAGACUUGAAUAUUUUGAGAAAACACUUGUGUUUUAAUUAGCGGCCGGGAGGUUCACCUUUAAUGACUGGCUCCGCGCCGCUGCUGCCGCCACCAUUUGCUAAGCUCGCCGGCCGCUGGCGGGCCAGCCUCCGAUAUUUUGGCUCCGCGGCUCUUCGGGCCUCCGAGGACCCUCGUGCCGGGACGCGUGGCUCGGGGCCGAUUUUUGGCGUGUCCAGCCGGGCGCCGCGGGCGUGUGCGUGCAGCCGUGGCCAUGGCGGAGGCUGGGGACGGCCCCGCCUCUGGCAGGGUUCACCCGCGCCGCCAUGUUAGUUUCGGGCCUUCAUCAGACGCGCCAUUCAUCGACGCCGCGCCCCCUCGGCCCCCUCCCGCACCCCCCGCCGCCCCGGCUCUCCCAAAGUAGGACGGGCGGCUGGGGGAGCGGCGGGCCGGGAGGAGAGGCUGGGGAACAGCAGGGAGGCGCCCCAGCUGCCCUCAGCAGGGCCCUAUUGUUUUACCAGCGGGUCGCUGCCACUGUUCUCUCCCCGACCUCAGCUGCUUCCCGCCGCGCCACGGGCCAGCACCGCCACCGCCGGCCUCCCACACGUAAUUAACAAGUGUGUGUGAUCAACGUGCGUGGCGUCGUUCAGUAGUGGACAGCGUCUCCCGGAGGCGAGACUCGAGCCACGCGUUGGAAGCCUCCGUCGAGCCGCGCAGAGUUCCUUCGUUGGCGAGGCGGCGCGGGGGCGCAGGAGUCCCGGGCGGCAGGUCCAGCAGAGCCGCCAAGCGUCAGGCGUCUGACGCGCAACUUUUUGGAAAGAGCACGUUGGAAGGGUUGCUGAGACGCCAUGUUUGUUUGAACAGCGGCGGGGUGACUGGCCGCCGUGUGGCCUCGCAUCACAGCCGGGUCUGCUCCCGCCUUCAUCAAAUGGGCUCAGGAGGCUGCCGGCCGGCGGCUCCGCGGCGGCUGGCGUGUGGCCGGUGGGCGGCGCGUUAAAGUCUAGCGGCGCAUCAUCGAGGAGGUUUUUCAAGCGGCAGUGAACCAGAGAUUAGCGGCCGCGGCCCCGCGCUGUUGACUUUAGGGUGUCGUUGGGAAACUAAUUUGUUGACGGAGAGGCUCUCCCGCCCUCGCCUGCCGCCUCUCUUAGACGCCCCCCUGUGUGUGCCCUCUCCUCCCCCCCUUCAGCCGCAAUGAGGCGCUGGUGGCGGCCACGCAGCGUGAGUGUUGACGGGCGCCCUCCGGCAGGAGGUGCCAAAGGCGGGGAGGCUGCUGGGAGGACCGGAGGCUGCGGGAAGAAGAAUACAGACAAGGCACAGACGUUGAGUGGUCGUGUGCCAGACUGGAACGAGAAAAAGGUUAUUAAACACUGAUAACAAACAAACAGACCAACGAGGGAAAGUAAACAACGUAAUGCAUCAAGACACUUGGCUUCUCAAGACUAACAAAGUCGUCCACAAACAACCGUCUGUGUCCACUUGCCGAAGACCACGAAGCUGCAGAAGGGAAGGAAGAUACAGUCACUUAUAGUCUCGCCGAUCAGCUGAUUAUAGACACAAGCCCGGUCCCUCCCCUGUGGUACCCCGCGCCCCCUGGUUCCCUCCCCCCCCGACGCCCGGCUGCCCCCCACCGUAACCUGAGGCGCCGUGUGUUCUCCGGCGUGUCGUUCCAACAGGGCGCGUGGCUCCUCAUCCGUCUCAUCGCCGCCCCCCGUGACUGAGCUCCUGUAUAUAACGUGUGACCCCCGUGGGCGAGGCGACACACCUGCGUUUACUUACCUGCCGGGCCCACCACACCUGUCCCGUCUGUCCUGCCCGUGUGUGCUUGUACGCCCGUCGUGAGAGGUGAGUCAAGGUGUGAUGGUGUUUGCAGGUGUGAAAAGUAUUUGCAUGUGAACUUGUAUGAGUGAC